Molecule: transfer RNA, 64 nt
Filed under: Sanfilippodytes adelardi
Lineage: Eukaryota; Metazoa; Arthropoda; Insecta; Coleoptera; Dytiscidae
Description: tRNA-Arg
Source: RNAcentral
AAAUAAGAAGUAAUUUUUACAUUUAGUUUCGACCUAAAAAUUGAUAUAAAUAUAUCCUUAUUUA